Molecule: ribosomal RNA, 499 nt
Filed under: uncultured bacterium
Lineage: Bacteria
Description: bacterial SSU rRNA
Rfam family: Bacterial small subunit ribosomal RNA
Source: RNAcentral
GAUGAACGCUAGCGGCAGGCUUAAUACAUGCAAGUCGAGGGGCAGCACGGUUAGCAAUAACUGGUGGCGACCGGCGCACGGGUGCGUAACACGUAUACAAUCUACCUUAAACAGGGGGAUAGCCUUUCGAAAGAGAGAUUAAUACCCCUUAAUAAAUUGAACGGCAUCGUUUGAUUUUGAAAGCUCCGGCGGUUUGAGAUGAGUAUGCGUCUGAUUAGCUAGUUGGUGAGGUAACGGCUCACCAAGGCGACGAUCAGUAGGGGAUCUGAGAGGACUAACCCCCACACUGGUACUGAGACACGGACCAGACUCCUACGGGAGGCAGCAGUAAGGAAUAUUGGUCAAUGGAGGCAACUCUGAACCAGCCAUGCCGCGUGCAGGAAGAAGGCCCUCUGGGUUGUAAACUGCUUUUGACAGGGAACAAGAAGUCCAUGCGUGGAUUAGUGAGUGUACCUGUAGAAUAAGCCACGGCUAACUACGUGCCAGCAGCCGCGGUAAU